AUGCAGGAGCCACUCCCGCGCUCACUUGUUAUUCCUGGGAAAACGGCAGAAACUCCUGUGUGCUUGCUUGAAUGCUCAGCGUUGUUUUUCAGCGAACGCGUCUGGACGUCCCUUUAUCGGGGUGUUUCGACUUACAAAGAUGAUUUCUUUCCUGCUCCGAAGAUGGGGCUGGUUACCGUGGAUCGACUGCUGGAGGAUGGCGUAGCCCUGUCUCUUUCGGAAGGCCCCGCUGUGAAGUCCUCGCCUGCCGCUGCGUUAGCUGCCGCCCACAGGUCAGAACUCCCAUGGACAUUCCUGUGAAUUCAUGUGAUGACGGAAAUCGUGUAUGUGUGCAUACCAUUUUAAUAUAUGACUUUGUUUUAUGAAAUAGUUACUUAAUUAUCUAUUUAUUUAUUCUAAAGUCAGAACUACAUCUACGUUAUCUGAUAUUAAUAUAACAAAAUCUGCUUUUCCCUAAUCUCAUCGUGAUGUGUAAUUGUCCACUUUGUUUCUAUAUUUGAGGUGAGUUUCCUGUAAACAGUAAAUAAUUGAGCUUUGCUUUUCUAUCUACCCUGAAAUCUCUGUCCCUUGGUUGGUGUGUGUGUAUCGGUAUAUUUAAAGUGCACUCGUGUGUUGAGAGUUAGGACUCACUUCAAUCACUAAUAUUUCCAUCGACAGUUCUGAGGAAGACUCCUUCCCAUUCCAGAGGAUUCUGCUUCCCGUGGACCUACGCCCCACACCAGGGCUUCCUGGGUCUGCAGACCAAGGGCAGGUGCAGAACUGAAGGCGGGCGGGGUCAGGGGGGCUCUCCAUCACAGCUGGAGCAAGGGGUUAGCCCAGCUCGGGUCGGCCACGCCCCCUGCUUGCAUCCCACCUCCUGCUCCCGGCUCCAGGUUCCCGCCAAGCAGCACGAAGGCCGGCACAGGGGAGGCUGCACUUGGGGAAGAGCAGGACUCAGGUCCAGGCUCCCUCUGUUCCAGCUGUGUGGGAAUUUGGGAAGUGAGCCAGCAGGCAGGGGCUGUCUUGUCUGUCUCUUUCUGUCUCGCAAGUAAAUCAAUUAAACAUAAUAAUAAAACGA
This 1057-nucleotide long non-coding RNA is filed under the name Oryctolagus cuniculus (rabbit). RNAcentral describes it as "lncRNA (ENSOCUG00000037534.1)". The record is from RNAcentral. Lineage: Eukaryota; Metazoa; Chordata; Mammalia; Lagomorpha; Leporidae.